GUAUUUCCUUUAGUUGUUUAUUCUUUCAUACGUUUAUACGUUUUGAUUAUUGUGUAAGAGAUGUUAAUCAUAAUCUAUUUUAUUUCGCUUCUGGACUUAGAAUAAAUAUAUACAUUUCUUUUUAAUUUCUGGGGCCGUUACAGUUGGUAUCAGAGCCGCGUUCCUUGGACUCGUCCCUUACACAAUAAUAUUUAGAGAAAUACCAACCGAUUAAUCGUUACUCAACCCUUCCUUAUGAAAUACAGGUGCAGAGAGAUGAGGAGAGGAAGACCCCCACU
RNAcentral lists this long non-coding RNA (278 nucleotides) under Carica papaya (papaya). RNAcentral describes it as "long non-coding RNA (CPAP_LNC005775)". Lineage: Eukaryota; Viridiplantae; Streptophyta; Magnoliopsida; Brassicales; Caricaceae. The record is from RNAcentral.